Prunus mume (Japanese apricot) is the source of this 619-nucleotide non-coding RNA. The record is from RefSeq and is a predicted model, not a curated record. NCBI's taxonomy places the organism in Eukaryota, Viridiplantae, Streptophyta, Magnoliopsida, Rosales, Rosaceae.
GAACAUUCGAGCAUUCUCCUUUUUCUUAGAGAUGGAUGAAGGUGAUUUUGCUUGUUCACUAAACGCACCAUUAAGAUUGCAGGCCUGGAGGUUCGGGGUGGGCCAUUUACAUGUGGUGCUAAGCAAACAGAGUAUUUGGUUCAUUUGGGGAACAAUGAUUUUUGUCAUAUCCGAACUGCCCAGAACGAUGAAAUUUAUUGUCGUCAAUAUCUUUGUAUAACCACGUUUCAAAUUGUUGUUGGAGAAGGAGGAAGUUGUAUCAAGACCUUAUAUUCAACUGUUUUUCAUGUGGAUGUUAGUCACUUUGGUACUUUCUACAUUACAUUCAGCUUCGCACCUGAGUGUGAUGAUUUUGAACCUGAAGAAGAGGAGAGUGUAGAAACAAGGUAAGUUACCAUCCUCACGUCACUCGUAAUUAAAUUACUUCUAGAUAUUUGAAAAAGAGAAAAAGAAAAAUAUUUGGGAGGAAGAAGCAUUUCUCGAUGCAUACCUGCAGCUGUGAUAUACCUAAAUGUUAUUUUUUUUGUUUACAUUGGAAAAACGAUUGUCCUUUAUUGGAUCAUGUAAAAUUUGUUGGUACAGUAUGCAUGAUUUGCUAUGAGAUUUUAUUGAACAUGAA